AUCGCGGGCCCGGGAUGCUCCAUCAGCCGUCGGGAAGGCGACCCGGGCGGAGGUCUGGGCGCGUCGGGCAAGUUGCGUGCGGUUCCGGUUUCCCCUCCUCGACUGAAAUCAGCCGCAGUCUUUCUCCAUCACUACUCUUCUGCCUUUUUCAACCCGGGGGUUUGUUUUGCCGUGUACAUCCAUUCGUGCUCCAGAUGCAAGCAUGCUGUUGUAUCAGGUCUCUUCAUUACAUUGCCCAGCUAAAUUACAAUUUUAAUGAGAAAAAGAAAAGUGAUGGACUCGUUCACAUCUUGAAACUAAGAGAUCCCUCUCCCUACCUGCCGAAGAAGCAGACCGAAACCUGAAGAUUUUCCAAGGGGUUGGCCACCUGCCUUUUAACCAAGAGCUGUGGUUAGGAUGUACGUGGAGCAUCAUGCAGCAGUCAUAGACCUCAUUUUCCCUCUUUACCCGGGGGCAUUUGAAAUCAUACCUCUUGUUCUCCCACAACAUUAUUUUGACAACAAACUGCAGUAUCUCUGGAGCAGGAGAGGUAUCUUAAGUCAUCAAUGGAUGAUGGGAGCAACCCCCUGCAGCUUCACUGUGCACCAUCCAUUCAGAGGGAGAAAACAGAGCGAGCCCUCCAUUAACACAGAUGAAAUGUCACCCACAGGAGAAUUAUGCACAUGUGCAGUGAUUUAUUCCUAUGCCAUCAAAAAGGUCUGGAUUAGUCCAACAUCUCAUUCCAAACCAAAAUAACUUUUGAGGGAGGGGGAUUAGAAUUUUUGAUUAGUUCUAUUGCUACCUUCCUUAUUUGAUUAUAUGCCUUUUCCAUUUUGUCUCCCUACUUUUAGCCUUGCAGGAUAAUUCAGGUUGAAAGGAAUCUCAGGAGGAUGUCAAGUAAAACCGUCUGUUGCAGAGGGUUUACUUUACUUUGCCCUCUAGAGCAGGCAGCUGAAGACUUUGUCAAGUUCAGAAUGUCUCUGCAAACAGAUUCCAUCAUCUUCCCAGGCACCCUUUGCUGGUACUUUCCCUGCAUAUGCAUAAGCUCAGUUCUAAAACUGUCCCCACCCCAUUUCCACAAUCACUCCAGUUUCUUUAAAUUUGCAGCUAGGAGACAGCAACAACAAUUCCAUGAGAGCAGGAGGAGCCUGGUAACAGGCAGAGAGGAAGUCCAGUAGAUUUGAAGAGGUAAUUUUGCCUGGAUUUAUGGAAAGGGGAGAAGCAAUCCUGUUGAUACUUAAUUUAUAGUUAUCUACAACUAAUUAACAGUAAGAAGGAAAAGCAAAAUUUUAGCAGUGAGACAGCAAGAGAAAGCACUGGUAGAGCCAAUAACUUAUUUACAGAUGCUCUUUUUCCUCAAUUGAACCAAAUUCAGGUUCAAUGGAAAUGUUGCACUUCAGGGUGAAAUCAUUCAGGAAAGUUGCUGAUGGGUAGAAGAGUCCAGUUGGUCUCUUUCUUCAUUCCCUCAAUAUUUUCUGUGUCAAUACUGAUUUUUUCAGUUUGCUUUCUGCCACUGCAGGUCCUAUCAGUUCUCUGGACAGUGGCAGGUUGUAGGUGAAAUUCCCAAAACCUGAGAAUAGCAGCAAAUUGUUACUCUAUACUAUGUAUAUACAGCAGCAAAUUGUUUCUCUAUACUAUGUAUAUACUCAUCCCUCUGUGUCUGUGUGGCACUUUCUCUGUAACACAAUUUAUGUUCAGGCUGGCUGGCCUGCUGCUACAGCUUUCAGUUUAAAAGCACAGGAAUUAUCAGGUAGCUUUAUCUUUCUGCAGCUGUUGUCUUUUUCCAUCAUACCUGACCUGCUGGUGUUGAAAAUGCCUCUUGUCUGAAAAGCUCUGUUACUAACAAGAGAAACACUGAUCUGUAGGAUUUCAGAGGAAAAAGGCAAAAAUUCUCCUUUCCAGUGUGUGGUGGAAACUUCUGUACCACAGAUGUAGGCUCUGCUAGAAAAGCCAUGUUUUGACCAUAUUUUUGGUUGUCAUAGAAAUUAGUUUAUAGCUUAACUUCACAACUGCUUCUUUUUUUAAGUAAUUAGGGGAUGCAAUGUAACACACUAUCAUUUUUUAUA
Molecule: long non-coding RNA, 2045 nt
Organism: Melospiza melodia melodia
Lineage: Eukaryota; Metazoa; Chordata; Aves; Passeriformes; Passerellidae
Exons: 4
Source: RefSeq, a predicted model, not a curated record